Molecule: ribosomal RNA, 255 nt
Filed under: uncultured bacterium
Lineage: Bacteria
Description: partial 16S ribosomal RNA
Rfam family: Bacterial small subunit ribosomal RNA
Source: RNAcentral
UACGAAGGGGGCGAGCGUUGUUCGGAUUUACUGGGCGUAAAGGGCGCGCAGGCGGUUCUGUUUGUCGAGUGUGAAAGCCCCGGGCUCAACCUGGGAACUGCGCUCGAAACGGCGGAACUAGAGUUCGGGAGAGGAGAGUGGAAUUCCCAGUGUAGAGGUGAAAUUCGUAGAUAUUGGGAAGAACACCGGUGGCGAAGGCGGCUCUCUGGGGACGGUACUGACGCUGAGACGCGAAAGCGUGGGGAGCGAACAGGA